GAGACAGCAGUAGCCACGGUAAUACGUAGGUGGCAAGCGUUGUCCGGAAUUAUUGGGCGUAAAGGGCUCGCAGGCGGUUUCUUAAGUCUGAUGUGAAAGCCCCCGGCUCAACCGGGGAGGGUCAUUGGAAACUGGGAAACUUGAGUGCAGAAGAGGAGAGUGGAAUUCCACGUGUAGCGGUGAAAUGCGUAGAGAUGUGGAGGAACACCAGUGGCGAAGGCGACCCUCUGGUCUGUAACUGACGCUGAGGAGCGAAAGCGUGGGGAGCGAACAGGAUUAGAGACCCCAGUAGUCCCUGUCUCUUAUAC
RNAcentral lists this ribosomal RNA (308 nucleotides) under uncultured bacterium. RNAcentral's name for it is "partial 16S ribosomal RNA". It matches the Rfam family "Bacterial small subunit ribosomal RNA", at positions 505 to 807 of the family's 1533-position model. The record is from RNAcentral.